Molecule: ribosomal RNA, 476 nt
Filed under: uncultured bacterium
Lineage: Bacteria
Description: bacterial SSU rRNA
Rfam family: Bacterial small subunit ribosomal RNA
Source: RNAcentral
ACUGGCGGCAGGCUUAACACAUGCAAGUCGAGCGGUAGCAGAUCUAGCUUGCUAGAUGCUGACGAGCGGCGGACGGGUGAGUAACGCGUAGGAACCUGCCCAGUAGUGGGGGAUAGCCCGGGGAAACUCGGAUUAAUACCGCAUACGCUCUACGGGGAAAGAGGGGGCUUCGGCUCUCGCUAUUGGAUGGGCCUGCGUGAGAUUAGCUAGUUGGUGAGGUAAUGGCACACCAAGGCGACGAUCUCUAGCUGGUCUGAGAGGAUGAUCAGCCACACUGGGACUGAGACACGGCCCAGACUCCUACGGGAGGCAGCAGUGGGGAAUAUUGCACAAUGGGCGCAAGCCUGAUGCAGCCAUGCCGCGUGUAUGAAGAAGGCUUUCGGGUUGUAAAGCACUUUCAGUGGGGAGGAAGGCCUCGUAGUUAAUAGCUGCGAGGAUUGACGUUACCCACAGAAGAAGCACCGGCUAACUCCGUG